RNAcentral lists this ribosomal RNA (406 nucleotides) under uncultured bacterium. Its description in RNAcentral is "partial 16S ribosomal RNA". It matches the Rfam family "Bacterial small subunit ribosomal RNA", at positions 29 to 526 of the family's 1533-position model. The record is from RNAcentral.
AUUGAACGCUGGCGGCAGGCCUAACACAUGCAAGUCGAGCGAGCGGCGGACGGGUGAGUAAUGUCUGGGAAACUGCCUGAUGGAGGGGGAUAACUACUGGAAACGGUAGCUAAUACCGCAUACCAUCAGAUGUGCCCAGGUGGGAGUGGCUAGUAGGUGGGGUAAUGGCUCACCUAGGCGACGAUCCCUAGCUGGUCUGAGAGGAUGACCAGCCACACUGGAACUGAGACACGGUCCAGACGCCUACGGGAGGAAGCAGGGGGGAAUAUGGCACAAUGGGCGAAAGCCUGAUGCAGCCAUGCCGCGUGUGUGAAGAAGGCCUUCGGGUUGUAAAGCACUUUCAGCGGGGAGGCGUUACCCGCAGAAGAAGCACUGGCUAACUCCGUGCCAGCAGCCGCGGUAAUUC